RNAcentral lists this unclassified non-coding RNA (1608 nucleotides) under Hevea brasiliensis (rubber tree). The record is from RNAcentral. Lineage: Eukaryota; Viridiplantae; Streptophyta; Magnoliopsida; Malpighiales; Euphorbiaceae.
UCUUCCACAUUGCAUGCAUAAUUUCAACAGUAACAGCAUGACCACCAAAAGUGUAGAGGAUAUUGGUGGCGCCUGUGAAGUAGAGAACCAGUUUUGUUGGGCCAGAGUGAGUUACGCCAUCAACCUGGCCAUGAACAAUAGCUGCAAUGGUCAAAUACCAGGCAGUGUAGGUGGUCAUUCCAAGCCCAAGAAAAGACCAAAUUCUGUAAUUGUGAAAUGAAGGUAUGAACACAGUGGUGGCACAGCAGGCUCCAAAGAUAUAUGUCCAUGUCCUCUUGUCUAAUUUGUCAUUAAUGUAGUAAAUAUUGCUUGCACAGGCUAUGAGUUGUAUAACAGAACCAAAGAGGAGAAAAGUGCAGUUAAAGGCCAACCCAACGGCUUUCCACGUUGGACCCAGUAAACCAUCUAACACUUCAAACCACUGUAUGACAUGGUUCUUGAAGCUGACAUUCUCUUUCUCCUUUCUGCUUCGGUAUUCUACAUAGAGCACACUGAUGAGAUAUGCAGUCCAGCUCCCAAGAAUCCCGUAAAAUACCUGCAAAAUUAUUCCAGAAAGCAUCCCCAUUUGGGAGAAAGAGUAAGGCAGUGUCAACAGCACCUGAGCAACCUGAUUUGAAGCACAGCUAAACCAGGCAUCAUAUACAGAACCACCAUGCCAAAGAAUACUCUUGAGGCCAAAAAUGGAGUCAUCUUCCUUGCUCUCUUCUUCUUUCUCGUCAUGCUCAGUUUCAGUGAAGCCAGAUACCAUCUCUUCCUCUGCUUGUUUCUGGGAUAUCAUUUUUGCUUCACUGCUCUACAGAUCUGUCGCAAGAUUAGUUACAGUACUUGGAUUUGGAAAUCUCCCUUGGAUUUAAAUUAAGAGAAGAGCCAGAAAAUUCUAUGUAGACCUUUUUAUUGACAAAUGUAUCACAGUCCUGCAAGUCUGCUGCUUCUUUAACACCCUUUUCUAAAGAGAGAGAGUGAGAGAUGGUGCUUGCCUCGUUUCAAGAGUGUGCUUCUCUCGUUUUAUACCUUGUAAGAGCUAAGAAUAGAGUCCAGACGUCGAGUCCAAACGGCUGUUACAGCUCUUUUUUGCGGGUAGAGUGAUUAUAGUCCAAAUUCCCCCCUGCUUUCACCUAAUAGAACUGACACUGUAAAAAUCUGAUAGCUAUUUCACAACUUGGGCAAGCUUAAAGAAAAGAAAAGAAAAGGAGAAGAAAAAAAGUGUAAGAAAAUCUCUCUUAAAAAGGAAACUUUGAGCAAGAAAAUACAAAGAAGAAUUCUGACAGAAAGGAACACCUGAAAAAGAAAGGAAACUAGCCUGGAGCUGCUUUGGCACAUAAAACUACCUCAUAUUGUUCUUAAGAAACAGAGAAAAACAACAAUUUUUUUGACUUCUUUAAUUUUUUUCCCCUCUCUGCUUAUGGUGUUUCUGCUAACAGAUUCUGCAGAGAGGCCUUUAGCCUUUGGCUUCUAGCUUCUAUUCUCCGUGCUUCGUUUUGUCUAGCUUUGGUGUUUUCUGUCUUUAGUUUACCAUAUGCGACCCUUUUUAAAUGAGUUUGGACAGAUCCCAAUCUAGAGAAAUUAAAAUCCUGGAAUUUCUAUUUCCUGUUUUUGCUGUGAUUUCCA